Long non-coding RNA from Balaenoptera musculus (blue whale), 1856 nucleotides. RefSeq lists it as uncharacterized. The transcript has 10 exons. Lineage: Eukaryota; Metazoa; Chordata; Mammalia; Artiodactyla; Balaenopteridae. The record is from RefSeq and is a predicted model, not a curated record.
GUCUAGCCAGGACUGCUAUCCCCUGCUGCGGUCAGUGUGCGGGUGCGAAAGGAAGCGUGAGCCACUUGUAGUCCUGUGGCUUGCCAUUGAGAUCUACAGGCAACCCUCAAGCUCAGGUCGUUGCCUUGUUCCCGCAAGGAAACAGAAGUCUCUGCACUCAGGGUCAGAGAAGGAGUCCUGGCCAGGCCAGGCGUCUAUGUCAUGUUCAGCUUGGGAGGUGGAAUGCCAGGGAAGGAAUGCCAGCAGCAUCCUGGGGCCAUCGGUAUAAUCCCUGAUACCCAUUGAAGUGAGGACGGUGUGGCAAGGUGAGGCCAGGCGAAGGAGUCUCGGAAGGGUGUUGGCGUGCAUUCCAUGAGGAUCCUGCUUUAACCCUUGUUGUGGUGGUGGAGUGCCAGGGAACAAACACCUGCAGCAGCAUGGGGCCCUCUGUAUAGUCCAUGAUACCUGGCGAAGUGAGGAGAGUGCGGCAAGGUGAGGCAAGUCAAGGCAAAAGAGUCUCAGAGUGGUUUUGGUGUGAAGUCCUUGAGGAUCCUCGUAGGAACCUUGUGGUGGGGCACCCCAGAUCUGAUGCCAUGAUCCUUAGCUCCAUUUGCAGCCCCGUGGGUCGCCUCUGGCCGCUCCUGACUGCUGACAUGAUUGAGAUCGGUGGCUGCCCCGCGGUGGAGCCUGCGACUUUGAACGUGCAGCCUUUGAGCAGGUGGAAUGCCAGGGAAGGAAUGCCAGCAGCAUCCUGGGGCCAUCGGUAUAAUCCCUGAUACCCGUUGAAGUGAGGACCGUGUGGCAAGGUGAGGCCAGGCGAAGGAGUCUCGGAGGGGUGUUGGCGUGCAUUCCAUGAGGAUCCUGCUUUAACCCUUGUUGCAGUGGUGGAGUGCCAGGGAACAAACACCUGCAGCAGCAUGGGGCCCUCUGUAUAGUCCAUGAUACCUGGCGAAGUGAGGAGAGUGCGGCAAGGUGAGGCAAGUCAAGGCAAAAGAGUCUCAGAGUGGUUUUGGUGUGAAGUCCUUGAGGAUCCUCGUAGGAACCUUGUGGUGGGGCACCCCAGAUCUGAUGCCAUGAUCCUUAGCUCCAUUUGCAGCCCCGUGGGUCGCCUCUGGCCGCUCCUGACUGCUGACAUGAUUGAGAUCGGUGGCUGCCCCGCGGUGGAGCCUGCGACUUUGAACGUGCAGCCUUUGAGCAGGUGGAAUGCCAGGGAAGGAAUGCCAGCAGCAGCCUGGGGCCAUCGGUAUAAUCCCUGAUACCCGUUGAAGUGAGGACGACGUGGCAAGGCGAGGCCAGGCGAAGGAGUCUCGGAGGGGUGUUGGCGUGCAUUCCAUGAGGAUCCUGCUUUAACCCUUGUUGUGGUGGUGGAGUGCCAGGGAACAAACACCUGCAGCAGCAUGGGGCCCUCUGUAUAGUCCAUGAUACCUGGCGAAGUGAGGACAGUGCGGCAAUGUCAGGCAAGUUGAGGCAAAAGAGUCUCAGAGUGGUUUUGGUGUGAAGUCCUUGAGGAUCCUCGUAGGAACCUUGUGGUGGUGGAAUGCCAGGGAAGGAAUGCCAGCAGCAGCCUGGGGCCAUCCGUAUAAUCCCUGACACCCCUUGAAGUGAGGACGGUGUGGCAAGGCGAGGCCAGGCGAAGGAGUCUCGGAAGGGUGUUGGCGUGAAGUCCUUGAGCUUUCUGGUGGAAACCUUGUGGCAGUAAGCAGAACUUCUUUGCCGAAACCUAGAUGUUUCGCCAUGGGGACUUGUGCACCUGGACUACACUCUCACCUCCUGGGCUUUUCCCAUGGCACCCGAGCUCCAAUGCCCUGCGACGUGACUGCACUUCCUGCCCCAUGGCUCGGCUCUGUCCGCUCCUGACUGCAGACAUGAUUGAGGUC